This 405-nucleotide ribosomal RNA is filed under the name Metopograpsus frontalis. RNAcentral describes it as "partial 12S ribosomal RNA". Lineage: Eukaryota; Metazoa; Arthropoda; Malacostraca; Decapoda; Grapsidae. The record is from RNAcentral.
UUUAAAUUUAAAUAUUAAUAAACUCUAGAUAAGUAGUAGAUAGGUACUUAAAAAUUAAAAAAUUUGGCGGUGAUUUAAUCUUUUCAGAGGAACUUGUUUUUUAAUCGAUAAACCACGUUUAAUCUUACUUAUUUUGGUAUAAACAGUAUGUAUACCAUCAUUAACAGGUAAUUUUAAAAGAAAAAAUUACUAAAAAUAAUUAAUUAAAAAAAUUAGAUCAUGGUGCAGCUUAUAAAUAAGGUAAAAUGAGUUACAAUAAAGUUUUUUAUAUGAAUUAGUAAAGGAAGAGUUUACUAUAAAGGUGGAUUUGAUUGUAAAUGUGGAUUAAUAAGCUUAUUUGAUAUUGGUGCUAAAUCAUGUACAUAUCGCCCGUCGCUUUCGCUAACCGAAAUAAGUCCGAACCUA